Acanthochromis polyacanthus (spiny chromis) is the source of this 2676-nucleotide RNA transcript. It is a transcript of the gene named zinc finger protein 239-like, with no coding region annotated. Lineage: Eukaryota; Metazoa; Chordata; Actinopteri; Pomacentridae. The record is from RefSeq and is a predicted model, not a curated record. The transcript is spliced from 6 exons.
UUCAAACAUUUCUGUCAUCCAGCUGCUGUGUCUCUCCAGUCCAGCAGGUGUCGCUGUUUGCCCCCUUCUCUUUGUUCUCAGCUCAUUUAAACUGUCCUCGACCCGGAACUGAGUGUUUUUAGUCGACUUUCGUUUUAAGUCGUCAUUUAAACAGAACAGGAUCAAAAUAUUUCGAGAUGACCAGAGCAGCAGACCUUCUGUAAGAUUAAAGCAGGAAGCGACUGAGAGCGCCGCUGAUAUCCAGCCAGUGGAGACCGUGGUCGGCAUGAGGGGAGAGACCGAACCAGUGAAGCUGGAGGAAGAGAAAAUGAAGCAGCAGCAAACAGCAACAGAUGUCCAGCAACUUUUAAUGGUUAAAGAAGAGUUUCCUGCUGAGCAGCAGAACUGGUGCCCCGGUCUGGACCAGGAUGACCCACCAGAUGUCCGGCAGAUUAAGGAGGAACAGGAGAAACUCUGGACCUGUCAGGUGGAAGAGCUACCAGCCGGUCCUGUUCCUGUGAAGAGUGAAGAUGAUGAAGGUCAGCAACUUUGUAGAGCCACUCAGCCUCCAGACAGCAGUUUGACUCAACACAUGAAAACAGAAUUUGAUGAAGAUGACCUCCAAGGAUCAGAAUCACAUUUACAAGACACGAUCAAGACUUCUCACUCUUCUGAAUCGGAGACUGAAGACAGUGAUGGUUAUUGGGAGGAGCUCAGGGAUCCUCAAUUGGAUUUAAAUGCCCUAAAUAAUAGUGUAAUCCCAUUGAACAACUUGGGAGAUGGAAGCGCUACAAAAUCAUACAGUUGUUCUGACUGUGAGAAGCGAUUUACCCACAAGGGGACUAUGCAGAGGCACAAGAGAUGUCACACCGGAGAGAAACCGUUCAGCUGCACAACCUGUGGUACAAAGAUGGCUCGGUACGAUCAGUUAAUUGGUCAUAUGAGAUGCCAUUCAGGAGAAAAACCCUUCAGCUGUUCAGUUUGUAAAAAAAAAUUCAGAUUGAGCGGAGAUGUCGCGUCACACAUGAGAGUCCACACUGGGGAGACACCUUACAGGUGCUCACUGUGUGGGAGACGAUUCAGGCAGAGUUCGUCGCUGCGCUCCCACUUAAAAUCUCACAACGAAGAGAGACCGCUCGGCUGCUCGGUUUGUAGCAGAAGGUUUCAUCGGAGAACAACGUUAGUGAGUCACAUGCGGACGCACACUGGAGAGAAACCUUACCGCUGCACAGUGUGCGGUACAGGAUUCAGUCAGGCUGGAGCCCUGAAGCGACAUGAAAGAAUCCACUCUGGAGAGAAACCUUACUGCUGCACAGUCUGCGGUAAAGGAUUCAGUCAAGCGGGAGCCCUGAAACGACAUGAAAGAAUCCACACUAGAGAGAAGCCCUACAGUUGUGGCAAAUGUGGGGAAAGAUUUAGACAACAGACACAUGUCACAAAUCACAAAUGUGUUGCUCAGAAUCGCAGCAGCUCGUGAAGUUGGACCUGUUGUGUGUCACUCCAGGAAGAAGGAGAGUGUUUCCUGAAAUCAUGAAUCCUCCCCAGCUGCAAUUUUCCCCUCACAUUGUUGUGAUUAUCUGAGGAGGCCUGAUGACACCUCUCUGCCAAUUAGGAAGGACUUCAGCCCCCGUGUGCAGAGAGGAGGACGUUUCUUUCCACUUCUUACAGACAAAAUGCUAGAAAUUGGAAAACAAAUGCACAUACAGGGACACACUCAACUGUUGAUGCUCUUAUUUAACCUCUCGUACAGUUAAGUCCAAAUUAAUGUCUAUUUUUAUUGAAGCAAUUGGUUCCUUCUGAGUGCAUUGUAAGAAAUGGUGUUACAGAAGUUAACGCUAAAUUUCAACAGUUUCUGUCCUGCUUUUAUAUUUUUGCGCUAAUCAUCAUGUCCAACAUGGUUCGUACCGUUUCUCAGUUGUCUUUGCAAAGCCUCCAUUUGUUUCCACAUCAAACAGUAAAUUCUUAUCAUUGCUAACAAGCUUCCUGCACGUCUCCGCUUUUGACCACUCCUCUUUUGUCUUGACGACUUGGAGCAGGGGUGUCAAACAUGUGGCCCGUGGGCCAAAACUGGCCCACAAGAGGGUCCAAUCCGGCACGCAGGACAACUUUGAAAAGUGCAGAAAUUACAGAGAAGACAUUAACUAUGAAGGAGCCUUUUGAGAGGCAGCUGGCAUCGUGAUUGGACGGUACUUUGGUCUGAUCCAAUCCAGCUUCAGCUUCAGAGACGGCAGGUGGGACGAGUCAACGGAGGCCGAGUGGACGAAGGCAUGAAGCUGAGUACAAUCCAGAAAACAACAGAGGAGAGCAGCGGCCCAGGGCCAGAACAAACAGAGUAGCAUAGUAUGUCUCUAGAAAACAUCAUAGUAUAGCCUUUUGGUUCAAAAAACGCCAUCAUAUGCCUACCGACCGUAUGGAUUGGGAUGAAAACUCGUCACAUUCUUCUCAGUGCCCAGCCACAUCAGCAAGGGUGAAGCUCGAGGAGCCCAGCAGCGAGAAGGUCGAGCUGAUGUUGGGGUUGAAAACAUCCAGGCCCAAAAUGCCCAUCGAGCUCUGUUCCUCCGUUUGCAGCGACGAUGCAGUCAUGGCUCAUCAUCACAGCGAUGAUGAACGCGACGAGGACGGCGGUAAUCGCAGCCCCGGCUCUGUUUGCGCACAUGUGGGGGCAUCACAAAAGGACGUCCGGUGUGGAGAGGACGA